AUCACGCUAAAGCGUGUAAUAGACACGCUGGUCCACUAGAGGAUGCGUGUCAAUGUCACGCUUUGCCUCCUCUAGGCGUGAAAAUGACACGCAUUUAUGAGGAUGAUAACCAAUAGGGGGCGAUAAUUUCUUAUUGCCAACAACUUCAACAAGAGAAGCGACGCAGUGAUAUUGCGUUCUCUGGAGUUCCAUGGGUCCGGUCAGUACCCACCACCCUUCCCUGUUAACAUCACCCACAGUUUAUACUUUUUCUUAGAAAACCAACGGCUCUUUUAAGAGCCACUUCAAUAGACCCUUUUACAGCCCACGUGAUCAAAUAGCCUGCGUGUGCAUUUUGGCAAUGGAAGUGAUGUUAUUUCCCAGUGGUUCUAACGUGUAAGCAACUCAGAAAGUUUAUUAAAACGAUUUCCCCACAUCAAAACGUCUGGUUGUAGCAUUUGGUUGCACUAAUAUAAUAUACGUAUAUGUAUUUGGCCAUCUGCUAACGUAUUCUAUCCACUCCACUAUAGUACACGGUACACAAUUUAACCGCUUUCUCUACUUCUUAUAUUAUCUAUUGAUUUUCUGUGUUCUCCUCUACAUCUUCUCAUGUAAAGCUGCUUUGCAACAAUUAACACUUGUGAAAAGCGCUAUAUAAAUAAAAUUGAAUUGAAUUGAAUUGAAUUUGGUAACUGUGUAGAAGAUAAGUCAACUUUUUAAACUAACUUUCUCUGUCUGUGUUGCUUCACUGCUGAUUCUUGCCGUGCUUCCGUUGCCAAACUGCGUGCACAUACGUUGCCACGUCAUCAUUGUGUACAAACAGUAAAAGGGUCACUCACUCACUCCCUCACUCUUUCGCAAGCUUCUCUGUUUUCAAAUAAGUAUUGUAAUUUUAUUCUUUUGUUUUUCUUUCAUUUUACUCUCUCUCUCACUGUCCAAAACACUUAGCCUAUGCCUCUUUGUCUGACCAAUGUAGUAUUGUUGAAAUGGCUGCUGAGCAAGACAGAGGGAGAGCAAAGGAUGUUAUUUUCAUAGCAGACAAGCUUCUUGCUCAAAUCAAGGCAGAGGAACCCAAGGGCAAAGCAACAGCCAUUAAAGGGAGUACAUUUAAUGUCAGAUAGGUGGAGAAAAUGCUGAAGGAGGUCCACUACUAAAAAGAAGCAGAAGCGAAGAGAUACAAAGCUUCAGCUACAGUCUGUUUAUUGCCUACAGUGAGACCUGCACAUUUCUGCACUUGUGAUCAUGCAAACAUCCAGUGUAGAGCACUUCACCUGCCCGGCAUGUACACCCAACAAUGCUCACUCUUUGUGCAGAUGGCAACAGAAAAACCUCAGACCUUUACUGCAGAUUAGACCUUUCCUUUCUGUCAUGCAUGCCAAGGCUCAUUCAACCAAGUGUCAGGUGUCACACAUUUGUUAGAUAAUCUGGCAAAAAUCAGGAAGGUGCUGGUACAACUGCAGUUGAGGAGGUCGAAAUGGUCAACAGCUACCUGUCUCGUUGUGGCCUCACAACCAAGUAUCUAAUUGAUGCCUAUUUAUAAUAUUUUAGGAAACCUGUCUUUAUUUUUUCACUUUUUUAUUCUUUCUGUCUAGUACUUUGAGAUUGCAUAAGAGUAAGCUGUAACUGUUCAAAGUACAUAAAAAAUUGGCAUGUAGUUCUCUCUUAAAUUUUAAACUCAAUUGUCAGUUUCUGGAUUAAUUGAAAUACCACAAGCAUUAAUGGGACCUUUCUUCCUUCAUCACAUACAUGUCUUGUUAAUAGCCAGGAAUGACAUGCUAACUGUCCAUGCUAUUGGGUGGAACCAACGGAAGCAAGAAGGCCUUCAGCAUUAUCCAGCAGAUACAUCAAGAAAGGCUGAGUCUCAGAGACGGGAAGAUUUGAGCAGUGAACUGGGGUGUCCUGAGAACAUUGUGAAUCAGUGGGUACAAGAUGUCAGACAAAAGGCUACUGAUGGAUUUGGUAGGUACCAGAUGUGAUGACCUACAUAACCUUCAGAAAUGAAUUGAACAAAUGUUUCUUAGUCUUCAUUGAAAAGCCAGCCUUUGUAAUCACACUGAAAUCCAGCAACACCCUCACCAAGAAGAUUUUUUUUGAUGUAUACAUGUCAAAAGUGCACCUUCAAGAAGCAAAGAUCAUUGUGAUGAGGGAGAUGAGACACCACUGCACCGCACCUAUCUCAGAAGCCUGGCUAGGAACAUCAGGAAAAUGAUAUCAGAAAUGUCUUCAGGCAAAAACAGUGGCAGUUUAAGUGAAGAGUGUCAUCGCUGGCUACUGUGUCGUCUUCAGAAAAGGCUUGCAGAUGUAGAGAAGAAGUUCCAAGUUUGCUCAAGUUACAGCCAGGCUUUAGGACAGUGUUCUUCACUCCCAACCCUGGAGAGCCGGUGUCCUGCAGACUUUAGCUCCAACCUUAAUCAAACACACCUGAAAGCUAAUCAAUGUCUUCAUGUUCUCUAGAAAAUCACAGGUAUGCGUGUUUGAUUAAGGUUGGAGCUAAGCUCUGCAGGACACCGGCUCUCCAGGAUUGGGAUUGAAGAACACUGCUUUAGGACCAAAUGCUGUUUCUCUGCUGGAGGAUGAGCCUGAGGAGAUACUGGAGGACCACAAAGAGCUAGAUUAUGAGAGUUCAGAUGACAUUUUGGAUUUGGAACUCUGAACUGGUGUAUGCAUUUAGACUGUGUGUCACACUGAACUGCAGGUGUGUUUCAUGGAAAACAUAAAACUAUUUGGAAAUUAAAACUAUUCAUGGAUGUCUGAUACAGUGCUUUUAUUUUAGACAACCGUUUCCUGCAGUGUGUAAGCAACAUUAGCCUCAUAGAUUGAUGGGAAACUACUGUUAAAUAAGUUUUUGUAUGAUAAUCCAUAUCUCCGUUUACAAGCAGCAGGUUAGCUAUUAGGUUUCCCCUCCACCUCCGAUGUUUCACAGACUACUCCUACAGUCAACUGUGUUGCUACAACUUGCAAAUGCCACAAUCCUCUUACAGUGGUUACUUCACCAAACUGUGCCCAUAUCAUCUUGUCAACAUAAUGACAUUUACUGUAGAAAAAUAUGUAACACAGGCAAAAUAGAUUUGCACAUGUUACUUGUUAUAUAGUUUUAUACUGUAUCAAGUUUUUUUCACAGUGAUUGUGGAUACUUUUGGAGUGAACUAACUGUAUGUCAUUAGAUGAAAUACUUUCCAUAAAUGACUGAUCAAUAGCCUACCCAUAUUUGAUGCAUGAGUUAAUACUGUUGUUACCUUUUCAAUGAAAGGAAAUGUUUUACAAUGCCAUUUUCUUGAGGUAACUAUUAAACUGUUUCAUAUAUGUACCUGCAAAAUUGUUUACUUUUCCCUGUUUUGAAAAUGAGAUGUAAAACUGCUUUAUUUAUUUAUGCCUUAAAAAUAUAUGAUAGUUUAAUACAGGGUAAAUAAUAAAAACUUGUUAAUGAGUUAGAAUAUACAGUUGUGUUGUAUUAUUUAUGGCAUAGUUGUUAUAAUUAAUACAAGUUUUUCAUUACACUGCUGCAUAACUUUGCUCUAGAUAAUAGUAGGGUAUUAACACUAGACAGUUCAAAGAUGAUUAACUUUUAAGUUAUGUAUACUAUCAAUACAUAUAUUUACAUAUAGUAUGUGUGAAUGCUUUUGGUCUUUGAUUAAAUGCUUGUCAGCACGGGAAAAUGCUUUGUAAAUA
This is a long non-coding RNA of Paramisgurnus dabryanus, 3648 nucleotides long. RefSeq lists it as uncharacterized. Lineage: Eukaryota; Metazoa; Chordata; Actinopteri; Cypriniformes; Cobitidae. The record is from RefSeq and is a predicted model, not a curated record.